GGAGAACAGAGCGAAUUAUAUACAGUGUUCCAUUUAAAGGUUCUUGACAAGGGAUUUUAAGUGAUUUAUAAAGUUAGCCACUUGAACUGCAGCAUUGGCCAAUUUUGUUGUUUGUCAAUUUCCUUCCCCUUGCGCUUUAAAUUUUUUUAUAUGAAUAUAGAUCUGCUCUAAUUUGGAUUUUCUAAUGCUGAUGCUAAUCCAAACAGCAUACCAUCACAUUAUUUAUGUUGAUUU
RNAcentral lists this unclassified non-coding RNA (234 nucleotides) under Hevea brasiliensis (rubber tree). Lineage: Eukaryota; Viridiplantae; Streptophyta; Magnoliopsida; Malpighiales; Euphorbiaceae. The record is from RNAcentral.